This 87-nucleotide signal recognition particle RNA is filed under the name Mycoplasma sp. 1018B. RNAcentral's name for it is "signal recognition particle sRNA small type". It matches the Rfam family "Bacterial small signal recognition particle RNA". From Rfam's summary of the family: The signal recognition particle (SRP) is a universally conserved ribonucleoprotein involved in the co-translational targeting of proteins to membranes. Lineage: Bacteria; Bacillati; Mycoplasmatota; Mollicutes; Mycoplasmatales; Mycoplasmataceae. The record is from RNAcentral.
UUUGUUAGUAAAACUAUAACCUUGUAAUCUGGUCAGGUCAGAAAUGGAGCAGCCACAUCAAGAAGUAUAGUGUUUGCUAACUUUUUA